Long non-coding RNA from Manis pentadactyla (Chinese pangolin), 2598 nucleotides. RefSeq lists it as uncharacterized. The record is from RefSeq and is a predicted model, not a curated record. The transcript has 4 exons. Lineage: Eukaryota; Metazoa; Chordata; Mammalia; Pholidota; Manidae.
AGACUUAGGACCAAAGACAUCCAAAGGGUGAGCUUAGAUUAUGCAAGGUUUUGAAAUCUGGGGUGCAGAGUUUUGUCUUCAUGUCAGAGAAAGUUACAGGUUUCUCAACAAAAGAAAAGUUAUUUAUUUAAAGUAACAUUUUAGAAGGACCACUUAGAUGGACAUGUGGAAUAGACUGAAUACAAGAAGGGGAAAAGGGAGGCAGCAGACCUGUUAGGAGUCCCGUUUCUUUUGGACCUGAGCAUGAGAGCCUGUGGAUUGGCAGAGGUCAUGGCAAGGGUGAUGGCAGUGUGGACAUCACAACGAACGGAGAGUGAGUAACCCAAGUCCAGGAGUGAGGAUGCUGGGCUUGAAGACACAUAGAUUGCUUAUGACAAAAAGUGACAUCAGCAGUUGCAGGUGCCAUGUUAUUACACCGGCCCAGAGCCUACCUUCUACUGCGAAUGGCAGACAUAAGCAGCAACUCGAGCAGAAGCAGCUCACGGGUGCAUCUUCUCUUACCCUAAAGCAUGUGUCAGAGGAAGAGGAGGAGGACGAGAUGGAAGAAUGAAGAGGAGGAGAUUUUUAAAUACAGAAGAAAAUGGAGACAAGAUGGACGAUUUUCAUGAAGAAGAGUUACAGAGGAAGAAAAGGAUUUUAAGCAAAAAUAAUGUUAAAAGCACUCUAAGACCACAGAAAAUGUUCAUUGGUUUAUGGCUUUGGAUUGUUGGGACUGGGAGGACAUCACUAAAUGCAUCUACCUUAAUAGCUCUCUCUCUUCUGCUUUCUCUCCUUCCCUCCUUCUGUCUCCAUUCCCUCUCUUUAAGAGGUGAGGGAAUUGAGAUCUAAAAAGAUAAAAUCUUCCCCAAGUUACACAAUUGUGUGGCAGAAAUAAGGUUAAAAAUCUAAACUUACUGAUCAUAAUAAGCUCAAUUUCUUUUUCACAUUACUGGAUGGGAACAAAAAUAUAUAUCAGUGCCACAGUAAAGGCAACUCAAAGAUAAACCAUGGUUAACAAAACAUCUACAACUGAGAUUUGGGUCGCUCAGGGGCCAGCCCUAUUGAUGGAUGUCUAAGCUGAGAAUACACAGUGAAAGAUUUUAGCCAUUAGGUUGAUUUCUCUCCUGUUAACUUGCAUAUGUAAAGGCUGGAUAUAUGCAAUCCAUUAUAAUCUACUAGAUCAUUGUUGAAUUUCUCCCUGGGCUUGCUGCCUUGGUCAGCCCUCUGAUGUCUGAUGUUUUGGUCGGCAUUCCUUUGCCUCCUUGGACUGCUUCCCAUUGCCUGUGCCAGUCCUCAGUCCUAGAUCACCUCAUGCCCUAUAAAACAGUUAGAGAAGGUCACACACUGAGUGAACCUCACCUUCGAGCCCAAUAGCCCUUGAUAGAUUCAGACAGUUGCUCCUAAUUGUUGUUCAGAAAUUAUUUUCUCCCCUAAUUAAUUCUCCGGAAAAUUCCACAUUGUAGUUGUUGCCAUACUGUCCUUCUAUUCUUCUGUCUAGUUCGUCUUCUGAGCAGAUAACCCCAUCUGUUAUUUCUCUGAGAAGCUGAAAGCCAUUUUUCUUUUUCCCUCCCAGAAAAUACCUAUGUGCAUACUUUGGGCAUAUUCUUAUAUACUUCAACACAAAUGAACUCCUACAUCUGUCUCCUGGUCUUAUUCUCCCUCUCUAUUUCCAAACCUCCCACUUUCCCACCUCCUCAGAUUUUUCUCUAUGAAUAAUUCCUUCUAUCUGGUUUGCUUAAAUUUUUUCUUUAUUGGCUCUGUCUCUCUUCAAACAUGCCCAGGCCUCCACUCUCUCGAGGUAAGCAUCCUUGAGCUUACUGCUCAUUUAGCUGGCCUUGGCCCUUGCAUGGUGCAUUUACUCUUAAUAUUUGACUUAUUGCUGUUGUUCAGACCCUUGACAGACCUGUAUCUCUAGCUUAAUCUCUCCUAAACUACAGCUAACUUCUAUUCAAUUCUCUUCAAGAUCAUUUCAGCUUAGUUCCAUCAGUUUAAGAAAAUUUGAUUUCACAUUUGAUUUCUCUCCUGUUGUUCUUCCUCUAACACAUGCUAGGAAAAAAAUGAUACCAUUACUGCUUAAAACUCUUAAGUGACCUAGGAUCAGGUGGGAGCUUCCCUAACUUGAUGAAGAACUUUCAUUUUAAGCCAGUAGUCCAUGUUAUAUUCAACUGUGAAAUUCUAAAGUAUUUCUAUUUAAAUUCAGAAAAUGAUGAGGAUAUUAGCUAUUGCAUAUAUUAUUUAAUGCUGUGGUGGAAUUUAAGAGAUAUAUAUUUUGGAAAAAAGGAGCCAGGUAUAUUUUCAUUUGAAGUUGAUAUGGUUGUUGCCUACUCAGACAACCUAAGGGAAUCGAAUAAAAAAGUAGUAGGAAUAAUAAGAGAGUUUGCCAAGGUUGCAGAUUAUAAAAUAAAUGUCAUAAAACCAAUAGAUUUCCUAUAUACCAGCAAUGACCAGUUGGAAAAGAUGUAAUGAAAAAAAUGAUACCAUUCACAAUAACUCAAAAGUAUAUAAUAACACCAAUAGAUUUAAUAAGAAACAUGCAGGAUUUAUAUGAAUGGAUCUGUAAAACUUUAAUGAAGACUCUGUUAUCUCCGCCAUUCAAAACUCAGCACAAUUCUGCCACCU